UACGGAGGGUCCAAGCGUUAUCCGGAUUUACUGGGUUUAAAGGGUGUGUAGGCGGGCUUUUAAGUCAGUGGUGAAAUCUCCGGGCUCAACCCGGAAACUGCCAUUGAUACUAUUAGUCUUGAAUUUUGUUGAGGUAGGCGGAAUAAGUCAUGUAGCGGUGAAAUGCAUAGAUAUGACUUAGAACACCAAUUGCGAAGGCAGCUUGCUAAACAAACAUUGACGCUGAGGCACGAAAGCGUGGGGAUCAAACAGG
This 253-nucleotide ribosomal RNA is filed under the name uncultured bacterium. RNAcentral describes it as "partial 16S ribosomal RNA". It matches the Rfam family "Bacterial small subunit ribosomal RNA", at positions 524 to 776 of the family's 1533-position model. The record is from RNAcentral.